Molecule: non-coding RNA, 80 nt
Filed under: Tistrella mobilis
Lineage: Bacteria; Pseudomonadati; Pseudomonadota; Alphaproteobacteria; Geminicoccales; Geminicoccaceae
Also listed under: 1 other name
Source: RNAcentral
UGCGGCGAUCGUGGGGAUUUGGGCCGGCCGGCUUGCGGACCACGUUAAUCACGCCGCUAAAAGGUCGGGGGCCGCGCACC